UACGUAGGUCGCAAGCGUUGUCCGGAUUUACUGGGCGUAAAGAGCGCGCGUAGGCGGUCUGUCGCGUCGGCGGUGAAAGCCCUCGGCUCACCUGGGGGAGGUCCGCCGAAACGGACAGACUGGAGGGCGGUAGGGGCUGGCGGAACGCCCGGAGUAGCGGUGAAAUGCGUUGAGAUCGGGCAGAACACCAGUGGCGAAGGCGGCCGGCUGGGCCGACCCUGACGCUGAGGCGCGAAAGCCAGGGGAGCGAACGGA
This 255-nucleotide ribosomal RNA is filed under the name uncultured bacterium. RNAcentral describes it as "partial 16S ribosomal RNA". It matches the Rfam family "Bacterial small subunit ribosomal RNA", at positions 524 to 776 of the family's 1533-position model. The record is from RNAcentral.